Molecule: ribosomal RNA, 600 nt
Filed under: uncultured bacterium
Lineage: Bacteria
Description: bacterial SSU rRNA
Rfam family: Bacterial small subunit ribosomal RNA
Source: RNAcentral
ACGGGGUAGGAUCACGUAGGUGACGUACCCUCAGGGCGAGGAUAGCCACGGGAAACUGUGGGUAAUACUCGAUAAUCUUCCCGAUCAUGAUCGAAUGGGAAGCAAUGGGUGUGAUUCCACCUGAGGAGCGGCUUACGCAGUAUCAGCUUGUUGGUGAGGUAACGGCUCACCAAGGCUUUGACGCUUAGGGGGUGUGAGAGCAUGGCCCCCACCACUGGCACUGAGACACUGGCCAGACACCUACGGGUGGCUGCAGUCGAGAAUCUUCGGCAAUGGACGAAAGUCUGACCGAGCGACGCCGCGUGCGGGAUGAAGGUCUUCGGAUUGUAAACCGCUGUCAGAGGGGAUGAAGUAUACGAGAGCUAUCUCUUGUAUUUGACAGAGCCUCAGAGGAAGCACGGGCUAAGUUCGUGCCAGCAGCCGCGGUAAUACGAACUGUGCGAACGUUAUUCGGAAUCACUGGGCUUAAAGGGUGCGUAGGCGGUUUUCUAAGUCACGUGUGAAAUCUUCUGGCUCAACCAGAAAACUGCGCGUGAUACUGGAGGACUUGAGUGAGGUAGGGGUGUGUGGAACUUCCGGUGGAGCGGUGAAAUGUGUAGA